Molecule: transfer RNA, 89 nt
Filed under: Nitrospirota bacterium
Lineage: Bacteria; Pseudomonadati; Nitrospirota
Description: Nitrospirae bacterium (groundwater metagenome) tRNA-Ser
Rfam family: tRNA
About the family: Transfer RNA (tRNA) molecules are approximately 80 nucleotides in length. Their secondary structure includes four short double-helical elements and three loops (D, anti-codon, and T loops).
Source: RNAcentral
GGAGAGGUGUCCGAGCUGGUCGAAGGAGCACGAUUGGAAAUCGUGUACACGGCAACGUGUCGAGGGUUCGAAUCCCUCCCUCUCCGCCA